Molecule: small RNA, 276 nt
Filed under: Pan troglodytes (chimpanzee)
Lineage: Eukaryota; Metazoa; Chordata; Mammalia; Primates; Hominidae
Description: Metazoan signal recognition particle RNA (ENSPTRG00000041952.2)
Source: RNAcentral
GCUGGGCAUGGUGGCGUGUGUCUGUAAUCCCAGCUACUCGGAAGGCUGAGGCAGGAGAAUUGCUUGAACCCGGGAGGUGGAGGUUGCCAUGAGCCGAGAUCAGGCCAUUGCACUCCAGCCUGGGCGACAAUAGCAAGACUCCGUCUCAAAAAAAAAAAAAAAAAAAAAAAAUCGAGACAGAGUGUUGCUCUGUUGCCCAGGCUGGAGUGCAGUGGCAUGAACAGAAGGCUCACUGCAGCCUCAACUUCCUGGGCUCAAGCAAUCCUCCUGCCUCAU